RNAcentral lists this ribosomal RNA (240 nucleotides) under uncultured bacterium. Its description in RNAcentral is "partial 16S ribosomal RNA". It matches the Rfam family "Bacterial small subunit ribosomal RNA", at positions 94 to 334 of the family's 1533-position model. The record is from RNAcentral.
AGUGGCGGACGGGUGAGUAACGCGUGGGUAACCUGCCUCAUACAGGGGGAUAACAGUUAGAAAUGACUGCUAAUACCGCAUAAGACCACAGCACCGCAUAGUGCAGGGGUAAAAACUCCGGUGGUAUGAGAUGGACCCGCGUCUGAUUAGGUAGUUGGUGGGGUAACGGCCUACCAAGCCGACGAUCAGUAGCCGACCUGAGAGGGUGACCGGCCACAUUGGGACUGAGACACGGCCCAA